RNAcentral lists this transfer RNA (75 nucleotides) under Prolixibacteraceae bacterium. RNAcentral describes it as "tRNA-Arg". It matches the Rfam family "tRNA". From Rfam's summary of the family: Transfer RNA (tRNA) molecules are approximately 80 nucleotides in length. Their secondary structure includes four short double-helical elements and three loops (D, anti-codon, and T loops). The record is from RNAcentral. Lineage: Bacteria; Pseudomonadati; Bacteroidota; Bacteroidia; Marinilabiliales; Prolixibacteraceae.
GGUCCUAUAGUUCAAUGGAUAGAAUGUAAGAUUCCGGUUCUUAUGAUCUGGGUUCGAGUCCCGGUAGGAUCACCA